GAAGCUGAACUUGAAACUUUCUUUGGCGGAGAGUAGCGAUGAUAAUAUAUCAGUUGAUUGUACUUAUUUAAAUUCAGGAUUUGUAUGAGCACUGACGUCAAUUACGUCAAACAUGUUAAUAAAGGCACGUUGGUAUGCCAAUAAAUUGAUACAGGGCCGAUGCAUCUCAUGCGUCGUAUGGAGAAAGGAGCACCCAGAUGUGACAAGGUGACUGCUGGGCUUUCACAUGCAUGUUCUCUUGUUAAGGUCGUUCCUGCAUGAAAGUGCUUCUGAUACCACAGAAAUUGAGACCGAGGGCAACUCUUACUAUGAUUAUGAACUAGAAGACUACUCAACUCACAAAUAUAUAAGUGGUCAUAAAUGAAUUUCUCCAAUGAGGAUUUUCCUAUUUUUAUUUUAUUUAUGAGCAGUUUAACAUUGAUGCUUAUUCCAUUUUGUUGUGUGCUACGAUGUUUUGUUCUUCUUCGAUGUUGUUCUGGUGUUCUAUGUAUGAUAUUUGUUUAAGUAAAUGUAAAAACUAUAUAUUGUAACUUUUGUAUUUACAAGCUCAAUUAUUGUUUAAACAGUAACACUAUUUUAAAGAAAUAUUUUGCAUAAAUUAAUAAA
Molecule: long non-coding RNA, 606 nt
Organism: Dreissena polymorpha
Lineage: Eukaryota; Metazoa; Mollusca; Bivalvia; Myida; Dreissenidae
Exons: 4
Source: RefSeq, a predicted model, not a curated record